UGGGAAGUGAAGACAUGUACCAAACAAGAAUGAAAAGCAGGUACAGAAUCCAGCCACCUGGGAGAGGUUUCAGAGCUCUGCCAUGCAGCUUCCUACAGAGUUCGGGCAUCACAUUCCAGCUAAUGAAUUCCUGCAACAUGGUCUGGCUGCAUUUGCCCUAAGCCACUUCUGGAUUAGGAAGGUACUGAGCCGUGAAGGACUCUCAGCCCCUUGGUCUAACAAGCAUCUACCAAGAAGGUAUGUUGUCCAUGCUGUCCCUGUCCACCUCUUCUUUCUCUCACCCCAAAACCCACAUAUGAUGUCUUUCCAUCAUCACUAGCAUUGUGUCUUGCCUGAAAGGCUCCCUGGAACACCUGCCUAUCCUGGCUUCUACAACCUACAGCACACCACAGCCAUUAGCAACUGAAAAAUUUCCAGGCACUUCAUUUAAUUUGUAUUUGAACUAAACCGUUUAUUUCUGUGAAAGAAUAUUCUUUCUAUCUAGAAAGACAGUGAGAUCUAAGCCUUACACUGGUUCUUUAUUUCCUGUUCAAUAUUAUCAUCAAGGGGGAAGACUGUGUAGGUCAGAAGAGGUGCCCAGUUUCACCCGUGUAACACCUUCACUGUCAGUGUAUUUGCACAGCUGUGACUUAGCAAAUGGGUCUAAUGCUGAAGAGAGAAGAGGAAAGAAGUGUUUUUCUUUGUGGUGCUGGCUGAGCAAACCUCACAGGCACUCUGCUAAUACAGUAAAAAAAAAAAAAAAAAAAAAAAAAAAAUCAUUCAAAGCUGUCUCUUGUCACACCAGUCAGUGAGUAUUAUUUUCUGAGAGCAGCCUUGUUGGGAAGGAAGAGGCUACUCUUACAGGGAUACCUUUUGAUCUACAAAUGCAAUUUAAGGUAGAGGUACAUAUUUUUAAGGAAGAACACAGGGACCAGUAGGAGAAGAAAGAAAAUACAGCAUGUACUAGAAUGAAACUAGCAAUGGCAAGAAAGACAGGACUAUGAUGAAAUACUUACUUUUACAGCAUGGAUACCCAGCUUCAGCAUGCCCUUUGUAUAGCCUUGAGGGCUGACCCAGACCCUACUGAAAUGAACAGCAGCCUUCCACACAGAGUAUUUCUAGUUAUUCCCUGACUUCACUGCAAAUACUAAUACAUUUCUUGCAAACGACACAGUAUUUGUACCUACUGAUAAUCAGCCACCAGCAUUACCCUGUCUGUGGGCGACUGACUGCUUUUCCAUUAUGUAUGUUAAACACAUAGACCUAACUAGGCUGCAAUGUGGCUGCUUUCACAUACUUGUUUGUCCUUGUGGCAGUGCUGUACAACUGACAUCAGAAAA
RNAcentral lists this long non-coding RNA (1319 nucleotides) under Anas platyrhynchos platyrhynchos (common mallard). Its description in RNAcentral is "lncRNA (ENSAPLG00000026716.1)". Lineage: Eukaryota; Metazoa; Chordata; Aves; Anseriformes; Anatidae. The record is from RNAcentral.